UACGUAGGGUGCGAGCGUUGUCCGGAAUUACUGGGCGUAAAGAGCUCGUAGGCGGUCUGUCGCGUCGGCUGUGAAAUCCCGCGGCUCAACCGCGGGCUUGCAGUCGAUACGGGCAGGCUUGAGUUCGGUAGGGGAGACUGGAAUUCCUGGUGUAGCGGUGAAAUGCGCAGAUAUCAGGAGGAACACCGGUGGCGAAGGCGGGUCUCUGGGCCGAUACUGACGCUGAGGAGCGAAAGCGUGGGGAGCGAACAGG
Molecule: ribosomal RNA, 253 nt
Filed under: uncultured bacterium
Lineage: Bacteria
Description: partial 16S ribosomal RNA
Rfam family: Bacterial small subunit ribosomal RNA
Source: RNAcentral